RNAcentral lists this ribosomal RNA (521 nucleotides) under uncultured bacterium. Its description in RNAcentral is "bacterial SSU rRNA". It matches the Rfam family "Archaeal small subunit ribosomal RNA", at positions 345 to 866 of the family's 1478-position model. The record is from RNAcentral.
AACCUCCGCAAUGUGAGAAAUCGCGACGGGGGGAUCCCAAGUGCCAUUCUUAACGGGAUGGCUUUUCAUUAGUGUAAAGAGCUUUUGGAAUAAGGGCUGGGCAAGACCGGUGCCAGCCGCCGCGGUAACACCGGCAGCUCUAGUGGUAGCAGUUUUUAUUGGGCCUAAAGCGUCCGUAGCCGGUUUAAUAAGUCUCUGGUGAAAUUCUGUAGCUUAACUGUGGGAAUUGCUGGAGAUACUAUUAGACUUGAGACCGGGAGAGGUUAGAGGUACUCCCAGGGUAGAGGUGAAAUUCUGUAAUCCUGGGAGGACCGCCUGUUGCGAAGGCGUCUAACUGGAACGGUUCUGACGGUGCGGGACGAAAGUUAGGGGCGCGAACCGGAUUAGAUACCCGGGUAGUCCUAACUGUAAACGAUGCGGACUUGGUGUUGGGGUGGCUUUGAGCUGUCUCAGUGCCGAAGGGAAGCUGUUAAGUCCGCCGCCUGGGAAGUACGGUCGCAAGACUGAAACUUAAAGGAAUU